GCUGCAUGGCUGUCGUCAGCUCGUGUUGUGAAAUGUUGGGUUAAGUCCCGCAACGAGCGCAACCCUUAUCCUUUGUUGCCAGCGGUCCGGCCGGGAACUCAAAGGAGACUGCCAGUGAUAAACUGGAGGAAGGUGGGGAUGACGUCAAGUCAUCAUGGCCCUUACGACCAGGGCUACACACGUGCUACAAUGGCGCAUACAAAGAGAAGCGACCUCGCGAGAGCAAGCGGACCUCAUAAAGUGCGUCGUAGUCCGGAUUGGAGUCUGCAACUCGACUCCAUGAAGUCGGAAUCGCUAGUAAUCGUGGAUCAGAAUGCCACGGUGAAUACGUUCCCGGGCCUUGUACACACCGCCCGUCACACCAUGGGAGUGGGUUGCA
Molecule: ribosomal RNA, 379 nt
Filed under: Escherichia coli
Lineage: Bacteria; Pseudomonadati; Pseudomonadota; Gammaproteobacteria; Enterobacterales; Enterobacteriaceae
Description: bacterial SSU rRNA
Rfam family: Bacterial small subunit ribosomal RNA
Source: RNAcentral